UACGUAGGGGGCAAGCGUUGUCCGGAAUCAUUGGGCGUAAAGCGCGCGUAGGCGGCCCUGUAAGUCCGCUGUAAAAGUCAAAGGCUCAACCUUUGAAAGCCGGUGGAUACUGCAGGGCUAGAGUCCGGAAGAGGCGAGUGGAAUUCCUGGUGUAGCGGUGGAAUGCGCAGAUAUCAGGAGGAACACCAAUAGCGAAGGCAGAUCUCUGGGCCGUAACUGACGCUGAGGAGCGAAAGCAUGGGGAGCGAACAGG
Molecule: ribosomal RNA, 253 nt
Filed under: uncultured bacterium
Lineage: Bacteria
Description: partial 16S ribosomal RNA
Rfam family: Bacterial small subunit ribosomal RNA
Source: RNAcentral